CUACGGGCGGCAGCAGUAAGGAAUAUUGCGCAAUGGAGGCAACUCUGACGCAGCCAUGCCGCGUGCAGGAAGAAGGCCUUAUGGGUCGUAAACUGCUUUUAUUUAGGAAUAAACCCCCGAACGUAUUCGGGGCUGAAGGUACUAAACGAAUAAGCACCGGCUAACUCCGUGCCAGCAGCCGCGGUAAUACGGAGGGUGCAAGCGUUAUCCGGAUUUAUUGGGUUUAAAGGGUGCGCAGGCGGGCUAUUAAGUCAGUGGUGAGAUCCCGGGGCUCAACUCCGGAACUGCCAUUGGUACUGAUAGUCUUGAGUUUGGUUGAAGUGGGCGGAAUGUAGCAUGUAGCGGUGAAAUGCAUAGAUAUGCUACAGAACACCAGUCGCGAAGGCAGCUCACUAAGCCAAAACUGACGCUCAUGCACGAAAGCGUGGGGAUCAAACAGGAUUAGAUACCCUUGUAGUC
RNAcentral lists this ribosomal RNA (459 nucleotides) under uncultured bacterium. RNAcentral describes it as "partial 16S ribosomal RNA". It matches the Rfam family "Bacterial small subunit ribosomal RNA", at positions 339 to 795 of the family's 1533-position model. The record is from RNAcentral.